Papaver somniferum (opium poppy) is the source of this 2693-nucleotide long non-coding RNA. RefSeq lists it as uncharacterized. The record is from RefSeq and is a predicted model, not a curated record. NCBI's taxonomy places the organism in Eukaryota, Viridiplantae, Streptophyta, Magnoliopsida, Ranunculales, Papaveraceae. The transcript has 4 exons.
GAAAGAAACAGUUUCUCUUUCUUCUCUGAACCAGUCCCUUCUCUGAAACGAAGCAGCACUUCGAGAGAAAUGAACUAAUACAGUGAAUCGUUCUCAUUCAAACCUAAUUUUCCAUCAAAAGAAACAAAACACAUAAUCAAUUUCAUUGACAAAUUUCGAUACUAACCAGAAAGCAUCCACAAAAACCCUAUGAAAAAUGGCUAAAUCAAAGCAGAAUUCUCAAUCAAAAGCAUAUAAAAACAAGGAGAGUUGUCGUUCAAGAAAAAUUGACGAUUCAAGAAGAAUCCCAGCAAGAAAAUGAAGAUGGAGUUCAUCCUCCUUUUGGUGAACUCUGUAAUUUAUGCUUGUUUUCUUGUAUGACUUCAUGCCGUCUUGUGAACUGUGAGGUGGUAUUCGUUCUCAGGGAGCUGGGGUUCACCCUCCUUUUGGUAAACUCUGUACUUUAUGCUUGUUUUCUUGUAUGAGUUCAUGUCGUCUUGUAAACUGUGAGGUGGUAGUCGUUCUCAGGGAGCUGGGGUUUACCUUCCUUGGUGAACUCUGUACUUUAUGCUUGUUUUCUGGUAUGAGUUCAUGCCGUCUUGUGAACUGUGAGGUGGUAGUCGUUCUCAGGGAGCUGGGGUUCACCUUCCUUGGUGAACUCUCCACUUUAUGCUUGUUUUCUGGUAUGAGUUCAUGUUGUAUUGUGAACUGUGAGGUGGUAGUCGUUCACCAAGGAGUUGGGGUUCACCCUCCGUGGUGAACUCUCCACUUUAUGCUUGUUUUCUAGUAUGAGUUCAUGCUGUAUUGUGAACUGUGAGGUGAUAUUCGUUCUCAGGGAGCUGGGGUUCACCUUCCUUGGUGAAACUCUCCACUUUAUGUUUGUUUUCUGGUAUGAGUUCAUGUUGUAUUGUGAACUGUGAGGUGGUAGUCGUUCACCAAGGAGUUGGGGUUCACCCUCCUUGGUGAACUCUCCACUUUAUGUUUGUUAUCUGGAAGGAAUUCAUGCUUAUCUUGAACUCUGGACUUUGUAGGAGUUCGUGUUGUUUUCCCAUGUUCUUGUAAAAACGGGGGUUCAUUUAUAAUUACUUUUUUAAUGUGGAUGAGGAUGCAAAUAAAGCUAGUAAAAACUCAAGUAUAAAGUUCAAAGGUAGCUUUGCUGCUUUCAUUGCACUUGCUAAGCGUAUUAGAGAACUGAAAGAUGGAGAAGCUUUAAAUGCACAGCAGAUGGCCCUGAUAAGAAAGAGUCCAUUUGGGAAUGUAAUGUAUGUUCUUCUAGUAGACACUACUGUUUCUACAGAGUGGAAUAAGACAGUGAAGUCUUGUCAGUUUCUAUGGAAAGCAUGUAAAAAGGGAAUUCCUGGUCAAGAGGGUGUUUUUCAAUUUACAAUUGAUGGGAAAACAUACAUCCUAAGAUCUUAUCCUGAAGAGUUAUCAGUAAUGUAUGGCAUUCCGUGUAUCAGGGGAGAAGGGGGGAUUGAAGAGUCACUGCUAGAGUGCAAAAGUAUAAGUGAUUGCAGAUACGGAAGGUUCUAUAAAACUCACAAAUUCACUCCACCGGCAUAUAAAGAACUUGAAAUAAAAAAUACAGAACUGAAAACUAAGAUCUUAGAGUUAGUUAAAUUUAAAACCCAUAAUGAAGAUCUUGUUACAAUGAUGGAACUUUUCUUGUUGUCAACACUUUUUCUUACUACUGGUGAUGGAAGUUUCAUCCACUGUAAGUACAUAGGCUGCUUAGAGUGAGUAGGUAUAGUCUCCUGGCCUCACCUGAUUCACAAGCAUACCAUGGAAAGUGUGGCAAGAGAGUCUACUGAAGGAUGUUACAUGUACUUACUGACUUGGCUUGCUGAGCAUUCCAAUUUGAUACCUCAGUGGAGAGUGGAAGAAAAGACGACGAUAAAGUUUACCGUCCCAGAUUUGCAAGGUGGAGAAUCAAAGAUAUUUGCAAAGCAUUAGAUAUGAAUGUUUCACAAUUUGGAAAGCUGUCACCAAAAUUCUUGGAGACUUACACUGUAAUUGAACAAAAAAUAAUGAAUCAACUGAGGAUGAAGACGAAGGUUGAGAUGGAGGAAUAUGAUAAUAUGACCAAACAGAUAGAAGCGCUGAAAGAUAAACAUGCUGAAGAGAUGAGAACAGUAAAAUCUAAAUAUGUUGCAAAGGUUAAAAGAAUGAAGCAAAACCAUGUAGGUGAAAUAACAGAUCUAGAAGUGAAGCAAAAUGAACUAGAAGAUAAGUUUGCAGAAAUGACAGUUGCAAAAGACUCUUUUUAGAAAAAGAUGGAUUACCUGGCUACACACUUGAGAUCAAAGACAACUGAAGUUGAUGACAUUCUGCAAAGAGAAGGCGUGGAAAGUGUAAUCAGAUACAUGACAAAUCAGACAACAGAGUUCUUGCAAUGAUCUUUCCAAACAGAGUACCAAUUGGCAUUGUUGGGGUGUAUUGACUAAUAGCGACUACUUGAACAAUGUUACAUGAUCUUGGUUUAGAUUAAAUAGAACAACUUUAUUAAACAAACAUUUUUAGUUUUUUUGCUUGAACAACUUUGUUUUCUAUCAUUCUGUAACUUUAGUUCUUUUUUGUUUUCUCAAUGAACUGACAGUUUUAGUUCUCAAUGAACUGACAGUUUUAGUUCUUUUUUUUUUUCUCUAGCAUCAGUUCAUGUAUGUGUUUUGGAUAAUAUGUUACUUGGUUCAUUUUGGUAAAAUGUCACUGAUCUG